Schizosaccharomyces pombe (fission yeast) is the source of this 234-nucleotide non-coding RNA. Lineage: Eukaryota; Fungi; Ascomycota; Schizosaccharomycetes; Schizosaccharomycetales; Schizosaccharomycetaceae. The record is from the annotation of a GenBank genome assembly.
UCUACCAUAUGUUGCAUCGCUAUUUUUAUUAACAAACACGUAGACUACACGAUCUAGGGAACUAAGAAAGUUGAUUUUGUACGUUAAAAGAAGAGAAAAACAUGAGGGAAUUGUAACAUUUUUUAGGAAUGGGACAUUUAACUUUUAAAAAGCUGUAAUCUUUUACUAGAACUCUUUUGAAAUGUAUAUUUUUUGGGUUUCUAUAGAAAAGCUGAGUAACAGAAAUCGUUUGUA